AUGCCCGAAGGGUGACGAAGCGACGCCGCGUGGGUGAGGAAGGCCCUCGGGUUGUAAAGCCCUGUCAGGAGUUAAGAAAUGUAGGUGUGCUAAUAUCACGCCUAUUUGACGAAGGCUCCAAAGGAAGUCACGGCUAACUCUGUGCCAGCAGCCGCGGUAAUGCAGAGGUGGCAAGCGUUGUUCGGAAUUAUUGGGCGUAAAGAGCACGUAGGUGGGUUUGUAAGUCAGAUGUGAAAGCCUCCUGUUCAACGGGAGAAUUGCAUCUGAAACUACUGAUCUUGAGUGUAGGAGGGGAGAAUGGAACUUCUGGUGGAGCGGUGAAAUGCGUAGAUAUCAGAAGGAACGCCGGCGGCGAAAGCGAUUCUCUGGCCUAUUACUGACACUCAGUGUGCGAAAGCUAGGGGAGCAAACGGGAUUAGAUACCCCGGUAGUCCUAGCCGUAAACGAUGGGCACUAAGUAGAGGGGU
Molecule: ribosomal RNA, 467 nt
Filed under: uncultured Planctomycetota bacterium
Lineage: Bacteria; Pseudomonadati; Planctomycetota
Description: bacterial SSU rRNA
Rfam family: Bacterial small subunit ribosomal RNA
Source: RNAcentral